UGGGGAAUAUUGCGCAAUGGGCGAAAGCCUGACGCAGCGACGCCGCGUGAGGGAUGAAGGUUUUCGGAUCGUAAACCUCUGUCAGAAGGGAAGAAACCGCACUGUGCUAAUCAGCAGUGCCUUGACGGUACCUUCAAAGGAAGCACCGGCUAACUCCGUGCCAGCAGCCGCGGUCAUACGGAGGGUGCACGCGUUAAUCGGAAUUACUGGGCGUAAAGCGCACGUAGGCUGCUUUGUAAGUCAGGGGUGAAAUCCCACGGCUCAACCGUGGAACUGCAUUUGUUACUGCUUAGCUUGAAUCCGGGAGAGGGUGGCGGAAUUCCAGGUGUAGGAGUGAAAUCCGUAGAUAUCUGUAGGAACAACAGUGGCGAAGGCGGCCACCUGAACCGGUAUUGACGCUGAGGUGCGAAAGCGUGGGGAGCAAACAGG
RNAcentral lists this ribosomal RNA (429 nucleotides) under Fusobacteriota bacterium. Its description in RNAcentral is "Fusobacteria bacterium partial 16S ribosomal RNA". It matches the Rfam family "Bacterial small subunit ribosomal RNA", at positions 355 to 776 of the family's 1533-position model. Lineage: Bacteria; Fusobacteriati; Fusobacteriota. The record is from RNAcentral.